RNAcentral lists this ribosomal RNA (486 nucleotides) under uncultured bacterium. RNAcentral's name for it is "partial 16S ribosomal RNA". It matches the Rfam family "Bacterial small subunit ribosomal RNA", at positions 28 to 507 of the family's 1533-position model. The record is from RNAcentral.
GAUGAACGCUGGCGGCGUGCCUAAUACAUGCAAGUCGAACGCUGGAGAUCUAGCUUGCUAGCUCGAAGGAGUGGCGAACGGGUGAGUAAUACAUAAGCAACCUACCCACGAAGACUGGGAUAAUCUCUGGAAACGGGGACUAAUACCGGAUAGGUAAUCGGAAGGCAUCUUCUGGUUAUUAAAGGUUAAAAACACUGGUGGAUGGGCUUAUGGCGCAUUAGUUAGUUGGUGAGGUAACGGCCCACCAAGACGAUGAUGCGUAGCCGGCCUGAGAGGGUGAACGGCCACAUUGGGACGGAGACACGGCCCAGACUCCUACGGGAGGCAGCAGUAGGGAAGUUUCGGCAAUGGGGGCAACCCUGACCGAGCAACGCCGCGUGAGUGAAGACGGCCUUCGGGUUGUAAAGCUCUGUUGUAAGGGAAGAACGGUAGAUAGAGAAUAUCUAAGUGACGGUACCUUACCAGAAAGCCACGGCUAACUACGUG